AUGUUACAGUACCUAAACUCUCAUCAUAUUAUAUAUUAUAUAUAUAAUCUGUACAUCAAUAAUAUAAUAUAUUAUGAUACAUAUUAUCUCAAAAUAAUUUACAAUGUUUCCUUAAUUAUGAAAUUACUUGUUAAAUUAUUCAUUUUUAUAGAAUGUUUGCUCUUAACCUCACCUCACUACCCAAUUUCCUUGAUGGUUAUAUAACUAGCUUAAGAACUCUAUAUUUUUCCCAAUCCUUCUCGUACCCCAAUUGGUCACCGGAGAGAGAACAAAUGUCUAACGCAUCAGACUCACCUUCGACACCAACACAUAUGACUAGUCACAACUGACUGGACCAGGUCAGGGCUGCUCUAUGAUCAGGGAUGUGCAGCUCUAGUUUUUAGGUUCUCUCUAUCGUACAAACAGAGAAGGUUCCCACCAAGUAUUUUUAUUUGAUUUAAUCAACUAUCCUAUUUUUUUUUUCCUAAUUCCCAAAGUUAUACAUCCCUCUCACAAAACCUGAGGCUACACUCAACCCAUAAUUUCCCAUCAAAUCAGUAUCACCCACAACUUAUUACAGCAACCAGAUUCAUCAAUUUCCUUCAGAGCACAUCAUAACCAAUAUACAAACNNGAAUCAUUNNCAGGAUCAUCAAUUCAAUGAAAUUCAGUUCAGCAACACAAUUCCAGACAGAUUAUAACAAUCACAAUCAAACAUAGAGAAUGAACCAAAGGUUCAGAACAUUCCAAGACCAAAUACCUAAAACAGAGACAAUUAAAUAUCAAAUAAUAUAUCACAGUUAAAUUUAACAUGCAUAGAGCAUUAAAACAGAGUUAACCAGUGUACAAACGCAAUUCAACAUAUUUUCUCAUAAAUUCNGGAAUUAAUCAGAACAACAAAAUACUUAUAUAGUUAGCUCCCCUUACCUCUAGGUUGCCUUGUUCAGUUUACAGAGAACGCCCAC
RNAcentral lists this long non-coding RNA (943 nucleotides) under Vigna radiata. RNAcentral describes it as "long non-coding RNA (VRAD_LNC002507)". Lineage: Eukaryota; Viridiplantae; Streptophyta; Magnoliopsida; Fabales; Fabaceae. The record is from RNAcentral.